CAAGAUUCCUUCCCACCUCUUUUCUGACACACCUGAACCCUUGUUAAUGUGGCUGAAGUGCCAUUUCCACUCAGAAGCCAGGAUCUGGUUUCGCCGUGCUUGGCCUCCCUCCCAGAGUUGAGUCAUGAAUGGAGGUUUGGCAUCCUCCAGGGCUGAAGGUGUCCUUGUUCAGUCUCUCAACUGCUGCUUUCUCAGUGUUCUCAGUUACUGAGUAACUGCCAUUUCCUUGUUGUCAGUACUUCGUACUCCGCUAUUUGCAGAUCAAGGAUCCAGAACAGCUUAGUUGGGCAGUUCUGGCUGAGGGCCUCUCAUGAGACUGCAGUGAACAUGUUCGCCAGCACUAGGUUGUCAGAAGGCUGGCCUGGGGUUGGAGGAUUCACUUCCAAGUUGACUCACUCAUAUGCCUGAAUGCAGCUCGUCCUUGAACUGUUUCAUCCAGUUUGGGAAAAUGUUGCUCUAUAGUGAUAUUCACAAGUGUGAGCAGUUGUGAAGCUAGUGGCAUUUAUCCCCUGGAAGAGGGCCACACCAGUGUGAAACCUGUGUCACCCUGUGUGAGGACAGUUUGACGUGAGGAGCUGUGACAUCCCGGUUGCUAACAUGUCUUCUCUCAUUCACCACGCACUUGCUCCUUCCCAAUUCACAAAACUUGUACCUAAAAUUUGGGAAAUAAAAAUAUAUUUUUAAAACUGGUGACUUUUGAAGGGAAAUAUUGCAAGCUCUAUUUUAAUUUCUAAGGCUGUAGAAGUCAGAGGAAAAAGAAAAAUAAAGAAAAAG
This is a long non-coding RNA of Equus caballus (horse), 774 nucleotides long. The record is from Ensembl. Lineage: Eukaryota; Metazoa; Chordata; Mammalia; Perissodactyla; Equidae.